ACGGAAGGCAGCAGUGGGGAAUAUUGCACAAUGGGGGAAACCCUGAUGCAGCGACGCCGCGUGAGUGAAGAAGUAUUUCGGUAUGUAAAGCUCUAUCAGCAGGGAAGAAAAUGACGGUACCUGACUAAGAAGCCCCGGCUAACUACGUGCCAGCAGCCGCGGUAAUACGUAGGGGGCAAGCGUUAUCCGGAUUUACUGGGUGUAAAGGGAGCGCAGGCGGUCCUGCAAGCCAGAGGUGAAAACCCGGGGCUCAACCCCGUGAUUGCCUUUGGAACUGUAGGACUUGAGUACUGGAGGGGCAGGCGGAAUUCCUGGUGUAGCGGUGAAAUGCGUAGAUAUCAGGAGGAACACCGGUGGCGAAGGCGGCCUGCUGGACAGAAACUGACGCUGAGGCUCGAAAGCGUGGGGAGCAAACAGGAUUAGAUACCCUGGUA
Molecule: ribosomal RNA, 434 nt
Filed under: uncultured Lachnospiraceae bacterium
Lineage: Bacteria; Bacillati; Bacillota; Clostridia; Lachnospirales; Lachnospiraceae
Description: bacterial SSU rRNA
Rfam family: Bacterial small subunit ribosomal RNA
Source: RNAcentral